CUCCUGGUCUCGCACCUGAAUGACAGAGGAAGAGCAGGCACAGUCACACUCAGGGAGAAGGUAGCCUUGCCUGCACCAGCUUCCAAGCAACUCAUCAGGACUCCUACACAGGUCUUCCAGUGCAGUGAGGGCUGGAAUUCUGGCUGCUUCUCAUGUGUGGAGAGAACAGUUGGUGGAAGAUCAAGCCCUGAACACCCCUCCUCAGGGCAGGAGAGGAAGAGACAACGUGAUCGUGCUCUCUGGAGUGGUUUGCAAUAGUGCUGCUCAGAUUACAG
Long non-coding RNA from Corapipo altera (White-ruffed manakin), 275 nucleotides. RefSeq lists it as uncharacterized. The transcript is spliced from 3 exons. The record is from RefSeq and is a predicted model, not a curated record. NCBI's taxonomy places the organism in Eukaryota, Metazoa, Chordata, Aves, Passeriformes, Pipridae.